ACGAGCUGAGGCCUUUGGGUCACCUCCCACCCGUGUUUAUUUUACCUUGUUGCUUCGGCGGGCCCGCCUUUACUGGCCGCCGGGGGGCUCACGCCCCCGGGCCCGCGCCCGCCGAAGACACCCCCGAACUCUGUCUGAAGAUUGAAGUCUGAGUGAAAAUAUAAAUUAUUUAAAACUUUCAACAACGGAUCUCUUGGUUCCGGCAUCGAUGAAGAACGCAGCGAAAUGCGAUACGUAAUGUGAAUUGCAAAUUCAGUGAAUCAUCGAGUCUUUGAACGCACAUUGCGCCCCCUGGUAUUCCGGGGGGCAUGCCUGUCCGAGCGUCAUUGCUGCCCUCAAGCCCGGCUUGUGUGUUGGGCCCCGUCCUCCGAUUCCGGGGGACGGGCCCGAAAGGCAGCGGCGGCACCGCGUCCGGUCCUCGAGCGUAUGGGGCUUUGUCACCCGCUCUGUAGGCCCGGCCGGCGCUUGCCGAUCAACCCAAAUUUUUAUCCAGGUUGACCUCGGAUCAGGUAGGGAUACCCGCUGAACUUAAGCAUAUCA
Molecule: ribosomal RNA, 540 nt
Filed under: Penicillium sp. PX-2011a
Lineage: Eukaryota; Fungi; Ascomycota; Eurotiomycetes; Eurotiales; Aspergillaceae
Description: eukaryotic LSU rRNA
Rfam family: 5.8S ribosomal RNA (bases 174-326)
Source: RNAcentral